AGAAAGGAUUUUCUCCCUAAGUGAGCCUUAGUGACAAAAAAUGUAGAGGAGAAGAUUUAUUCUGCUUGAGAAUGAAGAUCAACUGUGUCAUAUUCAUUUCUUAAUUUCUGGCUUCAUAGUUUCAAGGUCAUGCCUUCAACAACAAAGAUGGAAAAGCUCAUCCACAGGUAGAGAUUCCACAUUUCCAUUCAUUGAAGACAUCUUUAUUCUCAUUGAUCUAAUUUUUUACGAAGCCAAAAGCUCCAAUCCUGCAGGAAGAAUGACUAUAUUUCAUUGUUGUUAAGAAAAUCAUACAACAAAAUUGUUAUUCAAGGAGGCAAUCAAAGAGUAUGCAGCUAUAAAAGAGUAGAAAAAUAUUGUAGAAGUGUCAAGUAGCUAAUAAAAAACACUAUUAAUCUGGAUUUUGUGACGUGUAUGGUAUUUAUGACCUCUUUGAAAUUAUUCUUAAAUAUUUACUUUCUUACCUAAUUGUAAUGUUGUGUUCGGUUUCUUAAAAAGAACUCUCCAAGUGAUGGAAACAUCAGACCCCACAGAAGGGGAUCUGUCCCAGGGAGGGGAAUCCCAUUCAUGAUCUUAGUCUCCUGAUAUCAUGCCUUAACCAAGGUUCUAACCUAUAAGUAGAGAUGCCAUACAACUAUUAUCACCUUCUGGGGGGCCAUUUGUCAUCCUAGAACUGGAUUAGAUUAUCAUGGAUAAGUAACUAUCUUGUUAGCUCGGAUCACCUGCCACACUGUCCUAUCAAGGGAAUCUGAGACUGAGUAGAAAGUAAAGAACAUCCAGUUAGCUCUCAUUUACACCUGCUUGAUUUCAAAAAGGAAACAAAAUAUUAGUCACGAAAGGAAUUUGCAUGACAGGACUGUUGGGAGUAUCCAAUAUGUAUUUCCUUAGAUUGUUGUACCAAUUGAAUUGGACCUUUUCUAUAUUUUUUCAUGUGAACACAUUGGUGAAUGUCCUUUAAUCAACAGUAUAUAAAAAAUCUACCACACUUAACUUAUUUGACAGUGACUUAUUCAGCCACAACCGUUUUCUGGAAGACCUCUCAGGAUGAAGUGGGAAAGGAAAAUCAAAAAUAUUGUCAUAAACUAUUAAUUAAAACAGAAUUGAAAGAAUUUCUCAGAAUUACAGAAAGUUUGAAAACAGUGAUGACACCAAAAGAAAGAAAAAAAAGCAGAACUCAACUUCAACAAACUACAGAUUUUUAAAGCUAACAUCCAGAAUCUGGAGAACUAGUGGUUAUAAAUUAUAAACUUAGAGACCUGUUUUUGUUUCAGGUUGUAAAUGUGAUGCUUAAAAGGAAGUAAUAUGGACACAAUACUUUGGAAAAACUACAUAGAGACACAUAGCAGUCAGUAUUAUAAAUAUUUCCAGUUAUUUUUUCCUAUUCCUAAUAUUUCCUAUUCAUACACACACACACAGUUUUUGAAAUGGGAAUUGACUUUACCUACUGUUCUGUAUUAACUUUUUUUCACUCAACCACAUAUUGUGGCUACAUUAUUAUGAUGCCACACAAUAAUUUACCUCAUUGUUUUUGGCUGGAUGUAUAAAAUCUCCUGGAAAUGCAUAGACUUAUUGAUGAUUAUUUAUCAUUAUUUAUUUAUAAUGAUACAUUACAUUAGACAAGCUGGACAAUAAAAAGGCAAAGACAGGAGUAAGCCUGGCUUCAAUACCCCUGAAUAUGAAAUGAAGGAGAACUUGAGCAAAGUUCAUAGUUUGUAAUAGUCCACGUAUGAGGUGUUUACUCCAACACAUGGCAUUAUACAUUGUGGACCUCACACUUUCUAGACAUCCUAAAUUAUUUCUAGGAGCCAGGAAUUCCUCAGGUGGGCAGUUAGAACUCAAAGUUCUAGGUCAGAGUCACCAGCCAAGUAUUAUACUGACCAAUUCUAAACAGAGUAGCCACCAAGAGGGCAUGUAGCAAACAACACAGCUGGCUUGUUCUCCUGUGUGAGACUCUCUACUCACCCACUGGAUGUCUGGGCCCACAGUUUAAAUAGGACAAUAUGAGGUAUUGGUGGCACCCAAUAGGUCGUAGAAUAGCAGGUGGGGAUGAGUCGACAUAGUUCCACUCACCUCAGUAAACUCCAUGUCUUAGAAGUACACUAAAGAAACAGUGAUUCUGUGCUUGGCAGCCUUUAGAAAGUACACCAUUCUCCCAAUUUUGCAGAUUUUAAGUUACAAAGACCUCAAAGUAAAUAUUUCUUAGUGAAGUGACAUUGGGCAAGUCAUGUAAACUCUCAAACUUAGUUCCCUCAUUGGAAAAAUUAGGGUUAUAGCACUUGGUCACUAGAGCUUUAGUAAGAAUGAAACAAGACAGUCCCCACAAAUAUCUUAGGACAGGAUCUGGCACAUAGACAACACAGAAUACCCAGGUUAUUAUUUGAAAGGGAACUAGGAGGGGAGAAGAAAUUAUCAAAUCUAAAUAGGGUUUUGCACAAGACAAAUAUAUUCACUGAUAUAUCAAAGAAUAUACCUGUAGGAGGAAAAAUUGGCCAAUGAUUUAGUGGGAACAGAUUCCCACCAAAUCCAGGCUAAAAACAAUGUUCUGCUUUGAAAACACGAUACAGAACUAAAGCAGACAUCAGAUAGGAUGCUGAAAGUUGUUCAGAGACAAUAGUUUACCUCCCACACAGAUUCUAUUCAGCUUGUUAAGUGUGAAAAGUCAGAUCGUAGUCAGGUACUGUACCUUAUUUCUGUCCCCGAGGGCAUGGUAAUCAACCAGGGCACCUGGCCAUGAGUCAGUGAUCCAUGUUGUAACGGCAGCUCUGACAAUGCACGUCUGUGGCAUCUCUCCAGGGAUGAACCAAGUGUUUUCAUUUCCUGUUUAGUUUCACAUGGGUAGUGAUUAUUUAUGGAGUAGCAGGAGGUAAAUUUUUUUUUAGGUUGGGCAACCAGUUGUGGGUUUUGAGGUCCAUUCCAUAAAUAACAAUAAAACUAAUAGAUUAAUCUAAGUUGCUCCACAUUUGCUGCAAGGCCACUGAGGCAAUGUCAUUGUAUUCAUCACUGGGGACAUAACACAGCUACCCAUGCUGUCCUGGGAUUCUCCACAGGACUCCUCUGUCUGAUGUCCCCAGUUUCACUGUUUGCAACCAAGAUCUACUCUCCUAUUCAAUAUGCCAUACAGCAUUAUUAUCUGC
Molecule: long non-coding RNA, 3134 nt
Filed under: Canis lupus familiaris (dog)
Lineage: Eukaryota; Metazoa; Chordata; Mammalia; Carnivora; Canidae
Description: lncRNA (ENSCAFG00845029356.1)
Source: RNAcentral